RNAcentral lists this ribosomal RNA (981 nucleotides) under Staphylococcus aureus. Its description in RNAcentral is "bacterial SSU rRNA". The stretch from base 337 to 981 matches the Rfam family "Bacterial small subunit ribosomal RNA", at positions 874 to 1520 of the family's 1533-position model. The record is from RNAcentral. Lineage: Bacteria; Bacillati; Bacillota; Bacilli; Caryophanales; Staphylococcaceae.
AUAUUCGGAACAUCUUCUUCAGAAGAUGCGGAAUAACGUGACAUAUUGUAUUCAGUUUUGAAUGUUUAUUUAACAUUCAAAUAUUUUUUGGUUAAAGUGAUAUUCCUUUUGAAAAUAAAGCAGUAUGCGAGCGCUUGACUAAAAAGAAAUUGUACAUUGAAAACUAGAUAAGUAAGUAAAAUAUAGAUUUUACCAAGCAAAACCGAGUGAAUAAAGAGUUUUAAAUAAGCUUGAAUUCAUAAGAAAUAAUCGCUAGUGUUCGAAAGAACACUCACAAGAUUAAUAACGCGUUUAAAUCUUUUUAUAAAAGAACGUAACUUCAUGUUAACGUUUGACUUAUAAAAAUGGUGGAAACAUAGAUUAAGUUAUUAAGGGCGCACGGUGGAUGCCUUNGGAGCAUGUGGUUUAAUUCGAAGCAACGCGAAGAACCUUACCAAAUCUUGACAUCCUUUGACAACUCUAGAGAUAGAGCCUUCCCCUUCGGGGGACAAAGUGACAGGUGGUGCAUGGUUGUCGUCAGCUCGUGUCGUGAGAUGUUGGGUUAAGUCCCGCAACGAGCGCAACCCUUAAGCUUAGUUGCCAUCAUUAAGUUGGGCACUCUAAGUUGACUGCCGGUGACAAACCGGAGGAAGGUGGGGAUGACGUCAAAUCAUCAUGCCCCUUAUGAUUUGGGCUACACACGUGCUACAAUGGACAAUACAAAGGGCAGCGAAACCGCGAGGUCAAGCAAAUCCCAUAAAGUUGUUCUCAGUUCGGAUUGUAGUCUGCAACUCGACUACAUGAAGCUGGAAUCGCUAGUAAUCGUAGAUCAGCAUGCUACGGUGAAUACGUUCCCGGGUCUUGUACACACCGCCCGUCACACCACGAGAGUUUGUAACACCCGAAGCCGGUGGAGUAACCUUUUAGGAGCUAGCCGUCGAAGGUGGGACAAAUGAUUGGGGUGAAGUCGUAACAAGGUAGCCGUAUCGGAAGGUGCGGCUG